RNAcentral lists this long non-coding RNA (356 nucleotides) under Musa acuminata (dwarf banana). Its description in RNAcentral is "long non-coding RNA (MACU_LNC002425)". Lineage: Eukaryota; Viridiplantae; Streptophyta; Magnoliopsida; Zingiberales; Musaceae. The record is from RNAcentral.
GAGUAUUUGCUUUCUGAAUGUAAGACAAGUGGCACAGACCAGUGUUUGCUGGGAAAAGUUUGUUUAGCUUUCGCAUUGAGAUCAACCGAUGUCAGCUGCAGUAUGAGAGGAGAGGUUUCAAUUGAUUUAUUAUCUGUAAGCUCUGAAUGCUAACAUUUCAUUUUUCAGGUAUAAAUGACCAAAAUGGAAUUCUUCCUCUACCCCCUUGGCAAGCUCAACCUGUGCGGACUACUGAAUUGCCUAAUUUCCAGCCUCAACCUAUGCAAAAUGGCCAUCUUGGAGGUGUGAAUUCUUUACCGGGGCCAAUUAACCAACCCGGAAGCAUGCAACUCCAAGCCCCCCAAUCCAUGCCGGGC